This 301-nucleotide ribosomal RNA is filed under the name uncultured bacterium. Its description in RNAcentral is "partial 16S ribosomal RNA". It matches the Rfam family "Bacterial small subunit ribosomal RNA", at positions 509 to 807 of the family's 1533-position model. The record is from RNAcentral.
CAGCAGCCGCGGGAACACGUAGGUGGCAAGCGUUGUCCGGAAUUAUUGGGCGUAAAGGGCUCGCAGGCGGUUCUAUAAGACAGAUGUGAAAUCCCCGGGCUCAACCUGGGAACUGCAUUUGUGACUGUAGAGCUGGAGUGCGGCAGAGGGGGAUGGAAUUCCGCGUGUAGCAGUGAAAUGCGUAGAUAUGCGGAGGAACACCGAUGGCGAAGGCAAUCCCCUGGGCCUGCACUGACGCUCAUGCACGAAAGCGUGGGGAGCAAACAGGAUUAGAUACCCCGGUAGUCCCUGUCUCUUAUAC